Molecule: ribosomal RNA, 548 nt
Filed under: uncultured bacterium
Lineage: Bacteria
Description: partial 16S ribosomal RNA
Rfam family: Bacterial small subunit ribosomal RNA
Source: RNAcentral
UGGGGAAUUUUGGACAAUGGGCGAAAGCCUGAUCCAGCAAUGCCGCGUGUGUGAAGAAGGCCUUCGGGUUGUAAAGCACUUUUGUCCGGAAAGAAAUCCUUGGCUCUAAUACAGUCGGGGGAUGACGGUACCGGAAGAAUAAGCACCGGCUAACUACGUGCCAGCAGCCGCGGUAAUACGUAGGGUGCAAGCGUUAAUCGGAAUUACUGGGCGUAAAGCGUGCGCAGGCGGUUUGCUAAGACCGAUGUGAAAUCCCCGGGCUCAACCUGGGAACUGCAUUGGUGACUGGUAGGCUAGAGUAUGGCAGAGGGGGGUAGAAUUCCACGUGUAGCAGUGAAAUGCGUAGAGAUGUGGAGGAAUACCGAUGGCGAAGGCAGCCCCCUGGGCCAAUACUGACGCUCAUGCACGAAAGCGUGGGGAGCAAACAGGAUUAGAUACCCUGGUAGUCCCACGCCCUAAACGAUGUCAACUGGGUUUGUUGGGAAGGUUCCUUCUCAGUAACGUAGCUAACGCGUGAAGUUGACCGCCUGGGGAGUACGGCCGCAAGG